UGGGGAAUUUUGGACAAUGGACGCAAGUCUGAUCCAGCCAUGCCGCGUGCAGGAUGAAGGCCUUCGGGUUGUAAACUGCUUUUGUACGGAACGAAAAGACUCCUUCUAAUAAAGGGGGUCCAUGACGGUACCGUAAGAAUAAGCACCGGCUAACUACGUGCCAGCAGCCGCGGUAAUACGUAGGGUGCGAGCGUUAAUCGGAAUUACUGGGCGUAAAGCGUGCGCAGGCGGUUAUAUAAGACAGAUGUGAAAUCCCCGGGCUCAACCUGGGAACUGCAUUUGUGACUGUAUAGCUAGAGUACGGCAGAGGGGGAUGGAAUUCCACGUGUAGCAGUGAAAUGCGUAGAUAUGCGGAGGAACACCGAUGGCGAAGGCAAUCCCCUGGGCCUGUACUGACGCUCAUGCACGAAAGCGUGGGGAGCAAACA
This 427-nucleotide ribosomal RNA is filed under the name uncultured bacterium. Its description in RNAcentral is "bacterial SSU rRNA". It matches the Rfam family "Bacterial small subunit ribosomal RNA", at positions 355 to 774 of the family's 1533-position model. The record is from RNAcentral.